GCGUAACGCGUAUGCAACCUACCUUGUACUGGGGAAUAGCCCGUGGAAACAUGGAUUAAUACCCCAUAAUUUUAUCUAAUCACCUGGUUGGAUAAUUAAAGUUUCGACGGUACAAGAUGGGCAUGCGUAUGAUUAGCUAGAUGGUGAGGUAACGGCUCACCGUGGCAACGAUCAUUAGCGGGUCUGAGAGGAUGAUCCGCCACACUGGUACUGAGACACGGACCAG
RNAcentral lists this ribosomal RNA (226 nucleotides) under uncultured bacterium. RNAcentral describes it as "partial 16S ribosomal RNA". It matches the Rfam family "Bacterial small subunit ribosomal RNA", at positions 108 to 334 of the family's 1533-position model. The record is from RNAcentral.